This 1029-nucleotide long non-coding RNA is filed under the name Oryza brachyantha (malo sina). Its description in RNAcentral is "long non-coding RNA (OBRA_LNC000159)". The record is from RNAcentral. Lineage: Eukaryota; Viridiplantae; Streptophyta; Magnoliopsida; Poales; Poaceae.
CGCUCGUCGCAAAGCUACCGAGUCGCCUAUAUAAAGCAAUCUCCACGCCGUCCUCCGUCCUCGGCACGCUACCGCUCCUGCCGCGCGCGCGCAUGCCCGGCCGUGCUCGCUGCUCCGGCCUACCGGCCUGCCGCCGUGCCCGAGCUAUGCCUCCUCCUUGCUGCCUCCCCCUGUUGCCUCCCGGUGCAAGAAAGAAGAAAAGAAAGCAAGGAGAGAGGGGACGUGAGGGAGAUAGAAAAGAAAGAGAGAGAGGGAGAGGGAGGAGAAUAGAGGAGAAAAGGAAGAGAGAUGGAAGAAAAGGAGGAGAGGUGACAGUGAGAGGACGUGAGAGAGAGUGAAGAAAUAAAAAAGAGAGAAUAGAGAAUAGCAGAGGUACGCUAUGGGAGGAAGAGAGAAGAAAAGAAAGAAAGAAAAGAGAGAAACAAGAGAGGUAGCGUGAGCGAGAGAGAAUAGAAAAAUUAAUAAUAAAUGAGAGUGGAUCGUAUCGAGCUCCUCCUCAUCUAUCCCCUCAGUUAUCAAAAAUAAGUCUAAAUGCACUCUUCUUUUUCUAAAACCCAUUGUUUCUGUUAUAUAUCUAAUAAAUCUAUAUUAGUUUAUAAUAUAUUCUAUGUCUUAUUCUAUCCAAGUCCACAAUACCUCCGCAUAAGACCAGACAUAUGAACCAUGUCUUAUUAACUUCCAAUCUCUCCAAAAGUAUGGUUUAUAUCCCCUCAAGAAUUAUUAUCUUUUAAUAAUUCUUUUUCUGCUUUAGAUAUUCCGUAAACCUUCCAAAAUUCAUAUCUUUUCAACCGUAAGUCCGUUUCCCUCCGUUCAAUUUUCAGAUUGUCUCUAAAAAUAUCUCCUAUCCUAUGGCACUAUUAGUUAAUUAUAAUAUUAUUGUAUUUUAGGUCUUGUUGUGUUGUUUCCCUUUUUACGAUUAGCGGUUGUCGCAGUGUGUUGCUGUUUCGGACUUCGCUGUGAUCGUGGGAGUUCGAGAGCAGCCUUUCAUCAACCUCGAGACCUGUGAGCCUCGUCAACCAAAGACCCAGG